AAACCGUUGAAAGGGAAGCGAAUGGAGUUAGCAAUUCGCCCUGCCAGAUUCAGUUGUUCGCGCUUCGCGACGUGCGCGCUCUCGAUCCGCAUGGACGAGACGUGCACGGAUGCGACGUGCGGACGGCGCACUUCUGGCGGGCGAGCGUCAGCGUCGGUCGCCGACGGGCGACAAGGUCGCGAGGAAGGUAGAGUAGCCUUCGGGCGCGUUGUUAAGACUCGCGUUCGCAUGGCUCGACGGCGACCGUGGCUCCUUCAUGCGGAGGCGACGCGUGCCUGGCUGGCGACUCGUGCGAUCGGUCCGGCAUGUCGACCGUGGCGGACGGCACGCCUGUGCGCUCGAACUGCUGCCGGUCGCUCGCACGGUGUUCGCACACUACGCGUCGAAGACGCUGACGACCAUACGGCUCCAUCCGACCCGUCUUGAAACACGGACCAAGGAGUCUAACAUGUGCGCGAGUCUCCGGGUGAUCGAAACCCGUGGGCGCAAUGAAAGUAAAGGUCGUCCAAGACGAUUGAGGUGAGAAGCGCGCUUCUUCUCCACGCGCGCCGCAUCAUCGACCGACCUAUUCUGCUCUCAGAGAGGUUUGAGUAAGAGCGUAUCUGUUGGGACCCGAAAGAUGGUGAACUAUGCCUGAAUAGGGUGAA
This 647-nucleotide ribosomal RNA is filed under the name Sinularia sp. isolate 257. Its description in RNAcentral is "partial 28S ribosomal RNA". It matches the Rfam family "Eukaryotic large subunit ribosomal RNA", at positions 402 to 850 of the family's 3401-position model. The record is from RNAcentral. Lineage: Eukaryota; Metazoa; Cnidaria; Anthozoa; Malacalcyonacea; Sinulariidae.